Molecule: ribosomal RNA, 469 nt
Filed under: uncultured bacterium
Lineage: Bacteria
Description: partial 16S ribosomal RNA
Rfam family: Bacterial small subunit ribosomal RNA
Source: RNAcentral
GACGAACGCUGGCGGCGUGUUUAACACAUGCAAGUCGAACGGAAAGGCCCUGCUUGCAGGGUGCUCGAGUGGCGAACGGGUGAGUAACACGUGGGUGAUCUGCCCCUUACUUUGGGAUAAGCCUGGGAAACUGGGUCUAAUACUGGAUAGGACCAUGCUGUAGGUGGUGUGGUGGAAAGAUUAGUUUCGGUAAGGGAUGAGCUCGCGGCCUAUCAGCUUGUUGGUGGGGUAAUGGCCUACCAAGGCGUCGACGGGUAGCCGGCCUGAGAGGGUGGACGGCCACAUUGGGACUGAGAUACGGCCCAGACUCCUACGGGAGGCAGCAGUGGGGAAUAUUGCACAAUGGGCGCAAGCCUGAUGCAGCGACGCCGCGUGGGGGAUGACGGCCUUCGGGUUGUAAACUCCUUUCAGCCAUGACGAAGCCCUUGUGGUGACGGUAGUGGUAGAAGAAGCACCGGCUAACUACGUG